This 2802-nucleotide ribosomal RNA is filed under the name Triticum aestivum (bread wheat). Its description in RNAcentral is "partial small subunit ribosomal RNA". The record is from RNAcentral. Lineage: Eukaryota; Viridiplantae; Streptophyta; Magnoliopsida; Poales; Poaceae.
AUGCUGUUGCCCACCAAAUGGAGCAAGCCCAUGGCGCGCUGCCUGCUCCUCCGCCGCCACCUCACGGCCGCGGUCGCCACCGCCGCAGCCACGGCGCCGCUCCCCGCGAGGAGCGCCCACCGGGUGUUCGACAGGAGCGCGCACACCGAUCGUAUCCAGGAGCUCGCGCGGCUCGGCCGCCUGCGGGAGGCCCGGGAGGUGUUCGACGCCAUGCCACACCGCAGCAUCUUCGCCUGGAACACCAUGAUCUCCGCCUACUGCAACAGUGGGAUGCUCGAGGACGCGAGGUCCCUCGUCGACGCCAUCUCCGGAGGGAACGUGCGCACGAGCACCAUCCUGCUGUCGGGGUACGCCCGCCUCGGCCGCGUGCUCGACGCCCGCAGGGUGUUCGACGGAAUGCUCGAGCGGAACACCAUCGCGUGGAACGCCAUGGUCAGCUGCUAUGUCCGCAACGGGGACGUCACUAUGGCGCGCAGGCUGUUCGACGCGAUGCCGAGCAAGGACGUCACGUCGUGGAACUCGAUGCUCACCGGGUACUGCCACAGCCGGCAGAUGGUGGAUGCAUGGCAUCUGUUUGAGCAAAUGCCAGAGCGCAACUUGGUUUCUUGGACAGUGGUGAUCUCUGGGUAUGCUAGAAUCGAGCAGCAUCGCAAGGCUUGGGACAUCUUUUGCAUGAUGCACCGUGAAGGCGUGUCACCAGACCAGUCAAACUUCGCAUCUGUGCUUUUAGCUGUGACGGGUCUUCGGGAUCUUUGUGUUCUAGAGGGCCUACGCCCUUUAGCCCUUAAGACAGGAUUUGAGAGUGAUGUGGUCAUUGGGACAUCAAUGCUAAAUGCAUAUACUAGGGAUGCAAGUGCGCUUGACACUGCAAUGAAAUUCUUCGAGGGUAUGCCAGAGAGGAAUGAGUACACAUGGUCAACUAUGAUCUCUGCACUAUCUCAUGGUGGUCGAAUCGAUGCUGCUACUGCCGUCUAUGAAAGAGACCCUGUAAAGUCCAUUCCAUGCCAGACUGCACUGCUCACAGGCUUAGCUCGAUGUGGCAGGAUUACUGAUGCAAGGAUUUUAUUUGAUCAGAUUCCUGAUCCUAUUGUUGUGUCCUGGAACGCCAUGAUUACUGGGUAUAUGCAGAAUGGAAUGGUUGAUGAGGCAAAGGAGCUGUUCGAUAGGAUGCCUUUCAGGAACACAAUAUCCUGGGCUGGAAUGAUUGCGGGGUAUGCACAGAAUGGAAGGAGUCAAGAAGCUUUGGAUUUACUCCAAGCACAGCAUAGGAACGGGAUGUUACCUAGCCUAUCUAGUUUGACCAGUAGCUUCUUUGCUUGUUCAAAUAUUGGAGCUCUUGAGACAGGAAAACAAGUGCAUUCACUUGCGGUCAAGGCUGGUUGCCAGUUCAAUAGCUAUGUAGGUAAUGCUCUCAUUACUAUGUAUGGCAAGUGCGGAAACAUGGAGUAUGUGAGACAGGUCUUCAGUCGAAUGCGAGUGAAAGACACUGUGUCAUGGAACUCAUUUAUUUCGGCACUUGUGCACAAUAAUAUGCUGGAGGAUGCAAGACAUAUAUUUGACAAUAUGCUCAGUCGGGAUGUUGUCUCUUGGACUACGAUAAUAUCUGCAUAUGCACAGGCUGACCGGGGGACUGAGGCAGUGGAGUUUUUCAAAAUAAUGUUACACAAGCAUGAAGUACCAAAUUCCCCGAUAUUAACUAUACUUCUCAGCAUUUGUGGAAGUCUUGGUGCUCCUAAGCUUGGGCAGCAAAUCCACACAGUAGCCAUCAAACACGGAAGGGAUUCAGAACUUAUAGUCGCUAAUGCUCUCAUGUCAAUGUAUUUCAAGUGUGGUUCUGCAGAUUCUCAUAAGGUUUUUGAUUCAAUGGAGGAACGGGACAUAUUUACAUGGAAUUCCUUCAUUACAGGUUGUGCACAACAUGGCCUUGGAAGAGAGGCCAUCAAGAUGUAUAAACAUAUGAGAUCUGCAGGGGUGUUGCCAAAUGAGGUCACUUUUGUGGGGCUUUUAAAUGCAUGCAGCCAUGCUGGUUUGGUAGAUGAAGGUUGGCAAUUUUUCAAGUCAAUGAGCAGGGAUUAUGGACUGACUCCUCUGCUGGAACACUAUGCAUGCAUGGUGGAUCUACUUGGGCGAACUGGUAAUGUGGAAGGAGCUGAACAAUUUAUAUAUGAUAUGCCUAUUGAGCCAGAUGCAGUGAUUUGGAGUGCUCUUCUUGGGGCAUGCAAGAUUCACAAGAAUGCGGAAAUCGGUAGAAGGGCUGCUGAAAGACUCUUUGCUAUUGAGCCAUCAAAUUCUGGCAACUAUGUCAUGUUAUCAAAUAUAUAUUCUUCUCUAGGGAUGUGGGUAGAAGUUGCGGAGGUACGGAGAAUUAUGAAACAACAAGGUGUCACAAAAGAGCCUGGCUGUAGCUGGAUGCAGAGUAGGAACAAAGUGUACUCAUUUGUCACUGGAGAUAAACAGCAUGAGCAAAUUGAAGAGAUAGAAUCUACCCUCCAGGAUUUGUACACUUCAUUAAGGACUGCAGGCUAUGUGCCUGACACUGAAUUUGUUCUCCAUGACAUCGAUGAAGAGCAGAAGGAGAGUUCCCUUCUGUAUCACAGUGAGAAGCUUGCUGUUGCUUAUGGCCUUCUUGUUACACCCCAGGGCAUGCCUAUACAGAUAAUGAAGAACCUUAGGAUAUGUGGUGACUGUCACACUUUCUUCAAGUUUGUGUCACAAGUCACCAAGAGAGAUAUUGACAUUAGGGAUGGAAAUCGGUUUCAUCAUUUUAGGAAUGGAAGUUGUUCAUGUGGUGACUUCUGGUGA